UAGAGUUUGAUCCUGGCUCAGGAUGAACGCUGGCUGUAUGCCUAACACAUGCAAGUCGUACGAGAGUUUUUAACUCUAGUGGCGGACGGGUGAGUAACACGUGAGAAUUUGCCUUUAGGAGGGGGACAACAAUUGGAAACGAAUGCUAAUACCCCAUAUGCUUUCGAGUGAAAUGGAUUUAUAUUUAUCCGCCUAGAGAGAAGCUCGCGGCUGAUUAGCUUGUUGGUAAGGUAAGAGCUUACCAAGGCGACGAUCAGUAUCUGGUUUGAGAGGACGAUCAGACACACUGGAACUGAGACACGGUCCAGACUCCUACGGGAGGCAGCAGUGGGGAAUUUUCCGCAAUGGGCGAAAGCCUGACGGAGCAAUACAGCGUGAGGGAAGACUGCCUAUGGGUUGUAAACCUCUUUUUUCAGGGAGGAAUAAAUGACGUGUACCUGAAGAAUAAGCAUCGGCUAACUCCGUGCCAGCAGCCGCGGUAAGACGGAGGAUGCAAGUGUUAUCCGGAAUCACUGGGCGUAAAGCGUCUGUAGGUGGUUUAAUAAGUCAACUGUUAAAUCUUGAGGCUCAACUUCAAAAUCGCAGUCGAAACUAUUAGACUAGAGUAUAGUAGAGGUAAAGGGAAUUUCC
RNAcentral lists this ribosomal RNA (630 nucleotides) under uncultured bacterium. Its description in RNAcentral is "bacterial SSU rRNA". It matches the Rfam family "Bacterial small subunit ribosomal RNA", at positions 1 to 671 of the family's 1533-position model. The record is from RNAcentral.